This 497-nucleotide ribosomal RNA is filed under the name uncultured bacterium. Its description in RNAcentral is "partial 16S ribosomal RNA". It matches the Rfam family "Bacterial small subunit ribosomal RNA", at positions 28 to 507 of the family's 1533-position model. The record is from RNAcentral.
GAUGAACGCUGGCGGCGUGCCUAAUACAUGCAAGUCGAGCGAACGGACGAGAAGCUUGCUUCUCUGAUGUUAGCGGCGGACGGGUGAGUAACACGUGGAUAACCUACCUAUAAGACUGGGAUAACUUCGGGAAACCGGAGCUAAUACCGGAUAAUAUUUUGAACCGCAUGGUUCAAAAGUGAAAGACGGUCUUGCUGUCACUUAUAGAUGGAUCCGCGCUGCAUUAGCUAGUUGGUAAGGUAACGGCUUACCAAGGCAACGAUGCAUAGCCGACCUGAGAGGCUGAUCGGCCACACUGGAACUGAGACACGGUCCAGACUCCUACGGGAGGCAGCAGUAGGGAAUCUUCCGCAAUGGGCGAAAGCCUGACGGAGCAACGCCGCGUGAGUGAUGAAGGUCUUCGGAUCGUAAAACUCUGUUAUUAGGGAAGAACAUAUGUGUAAGUAACUGUGCACAUCUUGACGGUACCUAAUCAGAAAGCCACGGCUAACUACGUG